UAGCUUUUCCUUAAUUCACUCCCAUCUAUUUCCUUCUUCGGAAGACUCCUUUCCCACUGAAACACAAAAUUAAGGUGUUUCAAGAUUUAUCCAAAUUAUUUCUAACAAUGAGUCCAACAAUUAAGUUUUUAUAUACUAAUUUCACUCAUAAGGUUUCAUAAGUCAAGUUCUUUGUGUUUUUUAUUAUGGUGAUUACUAUUCAUUUG
This 206-nucleotide unclassified non-coding RNA is filed under the name Hevea brasiliensis (rubber tree). The record is from RNAcentral. Lineage: Eukaryota; Viridiplantae; Streptophyta; Magnoliopsida; Malpighiales; Euphorbiaceae.